This 957-nucleotide ribosomal RNA is filed under the name Euastacus balanensis. RNAcentral's name for it is "partial 28S ribosomal RNA". The stretch from base 343 to 957 matches the Rfam family "Eukaryotic large subunit ribosomal RNA", at positions 1 to 907 of the family's 3401-position model. Lineage: Eukaryota; Metazoa; Arthropoda; Malacostraca; Decapoda; Parastacidae. The record is from RNAcentral.
CAGCUCGUCGGCAGUCGGCUGGGUGCGAGUCUUCGUUGAGUCGGUGUGACCCGAGUAAUCUCGGGCGCGCUCGCACCCACGCUGGCGCCGGCGGGCGCAUUUCGCCUCGUAGUAGGGCGCCGCGACCCGUUGCUAGGGACGUCUAUGGCCCCGGUGGAUUGGUAACCUACCUUCGACGAGUGCAGCCUCCUCCUGGUGCUGCUGCUGCUGCUGCUGCUGCUUCUUCUUCUCCUCCACCUCGGAGGCUGAGGCGGAGGCGGCGGCGGCGGCGGCGACAUCAGCGUCGGCGGCUGCUUAGGCGCGAGGUAGGCGAAACCGCCGUUGGUGAUCCUGACUGCCCUGCGACGGUCGUAGAGACGAGUCCUUAUCCCCAUUCGUGGGGAGGGGGUUGCUCUCGCGGCGUGCAAAAAGAUCGGUGAUCCAUCCGACCCGUCUUGAAACACGGACCAAGGAGUCUAACAUGUGUGCGAGUCAGUGGGCUCACUAAACCCAAAGGCGUAAUGAAAGUGAAAACAUAAAACCGAGUCCGGCGCGCGCGUCUUUCAAUGGUGCGGGAGCCGGAAGCAUCUCGGAGGGCCGAUCCGUCGCCUCCUCCUUCUUCCGCCCCUCCACCGGCCUCUGCUGGUGGGGGGAUGUCUUUGGAGGAGAUUGCGUGGGCGCAGGCCCGGGACUUGCCAAGACGCCGCGAGGACCACACCGCCUUCUUCCGUCAGCGAGGUUGGAGAUGAUAUAGACGAUGAUUGAUGAUGACGCCGUCAUCCUCUCAAUAUAUCUCUCUCUCUCUCUCUCAGCCGAGCGGCGGUAGCGGGUGGGGGUGACGAUGAUGCGUGCAGUCGGCAAGUACCACGAGCAGACAUGUUGGUACCCGAAAGAUGGUGAACUAUGCCUGGCCAGGAUGAAGCCAGAGGAAACUCUGGUGGAGGUCCGUAGCGAUUCUGACGUGCAAAUCGAUCGUCU